This is a long non-coding RNA of Paramisgurnus dabryanus, 1179 nucleotides long. RefSeq lists it as uncharacterized. The record is from RefSeq and is a predicted model, not a curated record. NCBI's taxonomy places the organism in Eukaryota, Metazoa, Chordata, Actinopteri, Cypriniformes, Cobitidae.
UAUUUUACAUGUGGUGGAUUUCUGAAAAAGCCUAAACUUGAUGUUUACAGAGUUUAGGGGAGGAAUAUAAAACACUAUCAAUCUUACUCUUGAGAUGAUAUUAUCAAGCAUUAUCAUAUUGACAGGAUAAUCAUGGAGGAUAACUUCCACCUUUCACAUUUACUGCAAGCUUCAGGACCUUGGGGGGUAAGCUCAACAGAGACAAAACAGAUGCUGACUGCCUCAUCUGCUGGUGUCACUUUUACUUAAAAAGGGAAUGAUUCAUACAUAAUUCUCAUGUUUUAUACAAUUUUUCUGUUGUUCUUUGUAAUGUCGAUCACUUUUUCUUCUUGUUUUGUCUAGCAGGCACUGCCUUGCUCACCCGCCAAGGGGAAACAUCCGUGAUACACAAACAAACAGACAACCCAACAGAUUAGUAGUACUGUAAGUGCAGAGUGUACUAAGCUGCUCUUUAUUAAAGCAGAUGCGAGAUCCCUGUGGUGAUGUAAACCCAUUUAAAGUUUGGCACCGCCUGCCCAACUUCCUGCUGACUGUGAUGGAUGAGUUUAAGGGCGGUGGAUGCACAGAGCGAAUCGAGGAAUCUUCCCAUUGCUAGUGGCUACGGUAGCUUCUCAAUGCGUUUCAAAGGAGGGCUGAGCUGUGGACGAAGCCAUCGGUUGCAAUUCACAGUCUCACCACUAGAUGCUGCUAAAAAUCUACACAGUGGACCUAAGUUUGCCAGUUAUGUGCAGCUUUAAAAGAAAGGAAAUCUAGAAAAGUUUGGUAAAGCGCAUACAUGUAAAUGCAAAAUAAAUUUUGUAUAUUUGCUACACUGAUAUUUGUUUAUGAUACACUGUUUUUUAAUCAUAAUUGUCUAAUGUCUUGGACCAGUCUUCUUCCCCAACCAACCACCUCUUAAGUCUCAUAAGAGUGUGAAUAUUUAAACCUGGCACCUCAUUAUGUGUUGUAUCAAAGUACAGAUGUCACUAGUUUUUGUAAUUUUUUGAUUGGAGCAGAAUGAAAUUGAUUCAUACUGUUGCUUAAAGGAAUAAUUCCUGAAAGUUCCACUUCCAUAGUAUUUGUUCUUUCUACUAUGGAAGUCAAUAGGUACCGUCAACUGUGUGCUAACCAUCAUUCAUAAAAAACAUAUCUUCUUUUGUGUUUAACAAAAAUAAAGAAACUCAAACAGGUUUAAAACAA